UAGGGAAUCUUCCACAAUGGGCGAAAGCCCUGAUGGAGCAACGCCGCGUGUGUGAUGAAGGGUUUCGGCUCGUAAAACACUGUUGUAAGAGAAGAAUGACAUUGAGAGUAACUGUUCAAUGUGUGACGGUAUCUUACCAGAAAGGAACGGCUAAAUACGUGCCAG
Molecule: ribosomal RNA, 165 nt
Filed under: uncultured bacterium
Lineage: Bacteria
Description: partial 16S rRNA
Rfam family: Bacterial small subunit ribosomal RNA
Source: RNAcentral